This 453-nucleotide ribosomal RNA is filed under the name uncultured bacterium. RNAcentral's name for it is "bacterial SSU rRNA". It matches the Rfam family "Bacterial small subunit ribosomal RNA", at positions 29 to 518 of the family's 1533-position model. The record is from RNAcentral.
AACGAACGCUGGCGGCAGGCCUAACACAUGCAAGUCGAACGCACCGCAAGGUGAGUGGCGGACGGGUGAGUAACGCGUGGGAACGUGCCCAUCGGAUCGGAAUAACCCAGGGAAACUUGGGCUAAGACCGGAUACGCCCUUGAGCUUUGGUUUGGGGGGAAAGAUUGAUCGCCGAUGGAUCGGCCCGCGUCUGAUUAGCUGGUUGGUGGGGUAACGGCCCACCAAGGCGACGAUCAGUAGCUGGUCUGAGAGGAUGAUCAGCCACACUGGGACUGAGACACGGCCCAGACUCCUACGGGAGGCAGCAGUGGGGAAUAUUGGACAAUGGGCGCAAGCCUGAUCCAGCCAUGCCGCGUGAGUGAUGAGGCCCUAGGGUUGUAAAGCUCAUUCGCACGCGACGAUAAUGACGGUAGCGUGAGAAGAAGCCCCGGCUAACUUCGUGCCAGCCGCCGC